AGUGAACGCUGGCGGUAGGCCUAACACAUGCAAGUCGAACGGCAGCACAGUAAGAGCUUGCUCUUACGGGUGGCGAGUGGCGGACGGGUGAGGAAUACAUCGGAACCUACUUUUUCGUGGGGGAUAACGUAGGGAAACUUACGCUAAUACCGCAUCCGACCUACGGGUGAAAGCAGGGGAUCUUCGGACCUUGCGCGAUUGAAUGAGCCGAUGUCGGAUUAGCUAGUUGGCGGGGUAAAGGCCCACCAAGGCGACGAUCCGUAGCUGGUCUGAGAGGAUGAUCAGCCACACUGGAACUGAGACACGGUCCAGACUCCUACGGGAGGCAGCAGUGGGGAAUAUUGGACAAAGGGCGCAAGCCUGAUCCAGCCAUACCGCGUGGGUGAAGAAGGCCUUCGGGUUGUAAAGCCCUUUUGUUGGGAAAGAAAAGCAGCAGGUUAAUACCCCGCUGUUCUGACGGUACCCAGAGAAUAAGCACCGGCUAACUUCGUG
Molecule: ribosomal RNA, 492 nt
Filed under: uncultured bacterium
Lineage: Bacteria
Description: partial 16S ribosomal RNA
Rfam family: Bacterial small subunit ribosomal RNA
Source: RNAcentral